RNAcentral lists this long non-coding RNA (1574 nucleotides) under Homo sapiens (human). RNAcentral describes it as "HSALNT0006813". The record is from RNAcentral. Lineage: Eukaryota; Metazoa; Chordata; Mammalia; Primates; Hominidae.
CUCUGCAAGAAAAAGUCAUUAGAGCAAACAACCUGGAAAUAAAAGAUUUAGAUGCCAAAAAGUAAAAGAAGUGUUAAGACUUCAUAUCAGGACAUCUAUGUGCUAGGCCUCUUUAGAAGAGAUUAAGGGAUGAAUGAAGAUGUCCCAAUUAGCAGGAGACAAACACAAAAACAAGCACAAACAGUCCUGAAUUAUGUAGGGAUGAUCUUGAAGAGAUCAUAUAACUUAAAUAUAAUUUCUCAUCUGAACCUUCAAUGUUUCUGAAUUUAGAACAUGUAUCUUAUAUGGCACAUGGAGUGAUAGCUUUUGAGAACUGGCUAGGAGUGGUGGCUCACGCCUGUAAUCCCAGCACUUUGGGAGGCCAAGGCAGGCAGAUCACUUGAGGUUAGGAGUUCAAGACAGGCCUGGCCAACAUGGCGAAACCCCAUCUCUACUAAAAACACAAAAAUUAGCUGGGCAUGGUGGUGGGCACAUGCAAUUUAUAUUAUAUAUAAAUUAUGUUAUAUAUAAAUUAUGUUAUAUAUAAAUUAUAUAUGAUUAUGUAUAUUUAUAUAUUUGUAUGUAAAUAUAAUUAUAAAAUGUAUAUAUAUGUGUGUGUAUAUACACAUAUACAAAUACAUAUAUAUACAUACAUACAUAUACAUAUAUAGCUUUUGAGAACUUCCAUGGUAAACAUUACCUUACUUCUGGGGUUCUCAACCAUGGGCAAUUUUGCACAUGCCCAUCCCCCUACUUAGAAGGAGGUGUUACUUCCAUCUAGUGGGUAGAGGCUAGAGAUACUGCUACUCAUUCUAUGAUGCACAAGCCAAUCCUCACACAAAAGUUAUAUGACCCAAAAUGUCAAUAGGUUCAGAAAUUCUUAGUUUUACGUAAUAAAAUAAUAAAUAAAUAACUCCAUCAUGGCCAUGACCAUGUCCAUCUUGUUCACCAUGGUAUUUACACCACAUAGCACAGUAUGUGACAUGUCAAUGGCACUUAAUAUGUAUUUAUUCAAUGAAUGAAUCAAUAAGUUUAAAGUAUAAUACCAAAUUCUAUUUUUUUAAGAUGGAGUCUUGCUCUGUCGCCCAGGCUGGAAUACAGCGGCGUGAUCUCGGCUCACUACAAUCUCCGCCUCCUGGUUCAAGGGAUUCUCCUGCCUCAGCCUCCUGAGUAGCUGGGAUUACAGGUGUGCACCUCCACACCCUGCUAAUUACUGUAGUUUUAGUAGAUAUAGGGUUUCACCAUACUGACGAGGCUGGUCUCAAACUCCUGACCUCAAGUGAUCUGCCCAUGUUGGCCUCCUAAAGUGCUGGGAUUAGAGGUGUGAGACACCGUGCUUGGCCCCAAAUUCUUAACCUUCUACUGUUUAAUGAUACAUGUAGGGGGAAAGGUAAAUGUUCCUAUCUUCUGUUAUGACACCAAGUGAGAAAAGGUUUUGACUGCAUUACCUGGAAUCCCUCCUUAGCACAUUAAGUAAUCUCCUUGUAGAAGGUAUGGAGCUGCCUCUCUUGGAUAUACUUAUUUUUCAGUGGGAUUCCUGUAUAAAAAUGAGUAGUCUUAUAUGCUGCAGUGUGAAUUACAGUGUUAGAGGAGAG